This 1461-nucleotide ribosomal RNA is filed under the name Triticum aestivum (bread wheat). RNAcentral describes it as "partial small subunit ribosomal RNA". The record is from RNAcentral. Lineage: Eukaryota; Viridiplantae; Streptophyta; Magnoliopsida; Poales; Poaceae.
AUGGACUGGGCAGCUGCUAGCACCACAUUAUUCUCAGUAGUUCUUUUUUCAAUAGUAACUGUGGUAGCCGCCAAGCUUCUAAAAGCAAAAAACAAGUUCAAUAAUCAUGUGUAUACAAGACCACUUCCUCCUGUGGUGAAUGUCCUAGCUCUCAUACCUCCGCUUCUUAACAAGAGCUUGCAAGCUACGAUCCAGGAUCUAUACACAAAGUUUGGCAGCGUGUUCACCAUAAACUUUCUUGGACCGAAGGUGACCCUGUUGAUUGGACCGGAGGUGUCAGCUCAUUUCUUUCAAGGGCUGGACUCAGAGAUUAGCUGGGGUAAUUUGUUGGAGUUCACCAUUCCAAUGUAUGGUCAAGAGGUUGGGUAUGGGGUAGACACGGCGACUCGCAAUGAACACUCAAACUUCAUUAUUCAAGCACUACAGCCAUCCAAGUUGAGGAGCCAUGUUGAUCCCAUAUUUCAAGAAGUGGAGGCCUACUUUGCAAAGUGGGGACAAGAUGGCACAGUUGAUCUUAAACAUGAACUUGAGCAGGUGCUCAUGCUGACCUCUAGUCGGUGCUUACUAGCAGAUGUGGUUCGGCAUCAAAUGAUACUAACUGAAAUCUAUUCAUUGCUUCAUGAACUUGAGAAUGGCGCAAACAUUAUCAGUUUCUUAUUCCCGUAUAUUCCAACACCGACAAACCGCCGACGUGACAAGGCACACAUCAAACUGAAAGAAAUAUUCUCUGCCGCAGUUAGGUCACGCAGCCAAGCACAGGAGGAUGCAUUACAGAGGCUAAUUGAUUCCAAGUACAAGGAUGGUCGCCCCACGACCAUAGCAGAAAUCUCCGGUAUGAUGAUCAUCCUCAUUUCUACUUCAAGACACACCAGUUCUCACACUAGUAUAUGGACUGGAGCUCGCUUGCUGAGCAACACCAAGUUCUUAAAGGCGGCCGUCGAGGAGCAAAAACAUAUCAUUUGUAAGUACGGCAACCAGAUAGACCACCAUGCCUUGUCAGAGAUGGAUACCCUGCACAAUUGCAUCAAGGAGGCACUUAGGAUGCACCCAGCAGGGCCAGUGUUAUUUCGGAAGGCACAUAAGACAUUCAACGUGCACACCAAGGAAGGAAAUGAAUAUGACAUACCAGGAGGUCAUAACGUCAUAAUCCCGACUGUAUUUAACAGCAAGCUGCCAUACAUUUACAAGGACCCUAGGGUGUAUGACCCUGAUCGGUUUAGUCCUGGGAGACAGGAGGACAAAGUUGGUGGCAAGUUCUCGUACACAUCAUUUGGUGGUGGAAGGCAUAUUUGCCCUGGGAUGGCCUUUGCUUAUCUGCAAAUUAAACUGAUAUGGAGCCAUCUUCUAAGAAACUUUGAGCUCGAGCUAAUGUCUUCUUUCCCAAAGGCAGACUGGAGCAAGAUAACUCCAGCGCCUAAAGGAAAAGUAAUGAUAAGUUACAAGAGACGUCAGCUGCAUUGA